GGAGAAAUACUCAAGUGGCUGAAGAGGCGCCCCUGCUAAGGGCGUAGGUUGGGUAACCGGCGCCCGGGUUCAAAUCCCGGUUUCUCCG
RNAcentral lists this transfer RNA (88 nucleotides) under Hathewaya proteolytica DSM 3090. It matches the Rfam family "tRNA". From Rfam's summary of the family: Transfer RNA (tRNA) molecules are approximately 80 nucleotides in length. Lineage: Bacteria; Bacillati; Bacillota; Clostridia; Eubacteriales; Clostridiaceae. The record is from Rfam by way of RNAcentral.